GACGAACGCUGGCGGCGUGCUUAACACAUGCAAGUCGAACGGAAAGGCCCUGCUUUUGUGGGGUGCUCGAGUGGCGAACGGGUGAGUAACACGUGAGUAACCUGCCCUUGACUUUGGUAUAACUUCAGGAAACUGGGGCUAAUACCGUAUAGGAGCUCCUGCUUCUUGGUGGUGGUUGGAAUGUUUCGGCGGUUGGGGAUGGACUCGCGGCUUAUCAGCUUGUUGGUGGGGUAGUGGCUUACCAAGGCUUUGACGGGUAGCCGGCCUGAGAGGGUGACCGGCCAAAUUGGGACUGAGAUACGGCCCAGACUCCUACGGGAGGCAGCAGUGGGGAAUAUUGCACAAUGGGCGGAAGCCUGAUGCAGCAACGCCGCGUGCGGGAUGAAGGCCUUCGGGUUGUAAACCGCUUUCGCCUGUGACGAAGCGUGAGUGACGGUAAUGGGUAAAGAAGCACCGGCUAACUACGUG
This 468-nucleotide ribosomal RNA is filed under the name uncultured bacterium. RNAcentral describes it as "partial 16S ribosomal RNA". It matches the Rfam family "Bacterial small subunit ribosomal RNA", at positions 28 to 507 of the family's 1533-position model. The record is from RNAcentral.